ACUACAUAGCUGGGGAGUUUGUAUGACAGGCUGAGAGGAAGGUGCGACCUUCGACCCAUAAACCUGAUUUGGAUCAUGCCAACGUAGGGAGACGAAAGACGUAAGAAA
Regulatory RNA element from Firmicutes bacterium CAG:137, 108 nucleotides. It matches the Rfam family "TPP riboswitch aptamer (THI element)". From Rfam's summary of the family: Vitamin B(1) in its active form thiamin pyrophosphate (TPP) is an essential coenzyme that is synthesised by coupling of pyrimidine and thiazole moieties in bacteria. The previously detected thiamin-regulatory element, thi box was extended, resulting in a new, highly conserved RNA secondary structure, the THI element, which is widely distributed in eubacteria and also occurs in some archaea. The record is from Rfam. Lineage: Bacteria; Bacillati; Bacillota.